GACGAACGCUGGCGGCGUGCUUAACACAUGCAAGUCGAACGGUAAGGCUCCAGCUUGCUGGGGUACACGAGUGGCGAACGGGUGAGUAACACGUGGGUGACCUGCCCUGCACUUCGGGAUAAGCCUGGGAAACUGGGUCUAAUACCGGAUAGGACCGCACCGUGAGGGUGUGGUGGAAAGUUUUUUCGGUGUGGGAUGGGCCCGCGGCCUAUCAGCUUGUUGGUGGGGUAAUGGCCUACCAAGGCGGCGACGGGUAGCCGGCCUGAGAGGGUGGACGGCCACGGUGGGACUGAGACACGGCCCAGACUCCUACGGGAGGCAGCAGUGGGGAAUAUUGCACAAUGGGCGGAGGCCUGAUGCAGCGACGCCGCGUGGGGGAUGACGGCCUUCGGGUUGUAAACUCCUUUCACCAUCGACGAAGGGUUUCUGACGGUAGAUGGAGAAGAAGCACCGGCUAACUACGUGCCAGCAGCCGCGGUAA
This 481-nucleotide ribosomal RNA is filed under the name uncultured bacterium. RNAcentral describes it as "partial 16S ribosomal RNA". It matches the Rfam family "Bacterial small subunit ribosomal RNA", at positions 28 to 523 of the family's 1533-position model. The record is from RNAcentral.